GAUGAACGCUGGCGGCGUGCCUAACACAUGCAAGUCGAACGGACAGACCUGUUUCUUGGGGUUCUCGCGUUGGCGACGGGCGGGUAACUAACACGUGACCAACCCUCCUAUUUGGGAUGGAUUCCUUCGAGAAAGGGGAACUACUACCGGGAAAUACAUUGACCCGGAUGGGGCUGUAAAGAUUGACGGUUUUGGCGUCGGUUCUGGACGUAUCCGCGGCUUAUCAGCUUGGUGGUGUGGUAACGGCUUACCAAGGCUACGGCGGGUAGCCGGCCUGGGGGGGUGAGAGGCGACAUUGGGACUGAGAGACGGCACAGACUCCUACGGGAGGCAGAAGUGGGGAAGAUUGCACAAUGGGUGGAAGCCUGAUGCAGCAACGCCGUGUGCGGGAUGACGGCCUUCGGGUUGAAAAACGCAUUCGCUCAUGACGAAGCUUUGUGUGACGGUAGUGGGUAAAGAAGCACCGGCUAACUACGUG
Molecule: ribosomal RNA, 478 nt
Filed under: uncultured bacterium
Lineage: Bacteria
Description: partial 16S ribosomal RNA
Rfam family: Bacterial small subunit ribosomal RNA
Source: RNAcentral